GAUGAACGCUGGCGGCGUGCUUAACACAUGCAAGUCGAACGGGAAACCUUUUAUUGAAGCUUCGGCAGAUUUAGCUGGUUUCUAGUGGCGGACGGGUGAGUAACGCGUGGGUAACCUGCCUUAUACAGGGGGAUAACAACCAGAAAUGGUUGCUAAUACCGCAUAAGCGCACAGGACCACAUGGUCCGGUGUGAAAAACUCCGGUGGUAUAAGAUGGACCCGCGUUGGAUUAGCUAGUUGGCAGGGUAACGGCCUACCAAGGCGACGAUCCAUAGCCGGCCUGAGAGGGUGAACGGCCACAUUGGGACUGAGACACGGCCCAGACUCCUACGGGAGGCAGCAGUGGGGAAUAUUGCACAAUGGGGGAAACCCUGAUGCAGCGACGCCGCGUGAAGGAAGAAGUAUCUCGGUAUGUAAACUUCUAUCAGCAGGGAAGAUAGUGACGGUACCUGACUAAGAAGCCCCGGCUAACUACGUG
RNAcentral lists this ribosomal RNA (478 nucleotides) under uncultured bacterium. Its description in RNAcentral is "partial 16S ribosomal RNA". It matches the Rfam family "Bacterial small subunit ribosomal RNA", at positions 28 to 507 of the family's 1533-position model. The record is from RNAcentral.